UAGGGAAUCUUCGGCAAUGGACGGAAGUCUGACCGAGCAACGCCGCGUGAGUGAAGAAGGUUUUCGGAUCGUAAAGCUCUGUCGUAAGAGAAGAACGAGUGUGAGAGUGGAAAGUUCACACUGUGACGGUAUCUUACCAGAAAGGGACGGCUAACUACGUGCCAGCAGCCGCGGUAAUACGUAGGUCCCGAGCGUUGUCCGGAUUUAUUGGGCGUAAAGCGAGCGCAGGCGGUUAGAUAAGUCUGAAGUUAAAGGCUGUGGCUUAACCAUAGUAGGCUUUGGAAACUGUUUAACUUGAGUGCAAGAGGGGAGAGUGGAAUUCCAUGUGUAGCGGUGAAAUGCGUAGAUAUAUGGAGGAACACCGGUGGCGAAAGCGGCACUCUGGCUUGUAACUGACGCUGAGGCUCGAAAGCGUGGGGAGCAAACAGGAUUAGAUACCCUGGUAGUCCACGCUGUAAACGAUGAGUGCUAGGUGUUAGACCCUUUCCGGGGUUUAGUGCCGUAGCUAACGCAUUAAGCACUCCGCCUGGGGAGUACGACCGCAAGGUUG
RNAcentral lists this ribosomal RNA (550 nucleotides) under uncultured bacterium. RNAcentral's name for it is "bacterial SSU rRNA". It matches the Rfam family "Bacterial small subunit ribosomal RNA", at positions 355 to 896 of the family's 1533-position model. The record is from RNAcentral.